RNAcentral lists this ribosomal RNA (253 nucleotides) under uncultured bacterium. RNAcentral's name for it is "partial 16S ribosomal RNA". It matches the Rfam family "Bacterial small subunit ribosomal RNA", at positions 524 to 776 of the family's 1533-position model. The record is from RNAcentral.
UACGUAGGGUGCAAGCGUUGUCCGGAAUUAUUGGGCGUAAAGAGCUCGUAGGCGGUCUGUCGCGUCUGCUGUGAAAACUCGGGGCUUAACCCCGGGCCUGCAGUGGGUACGGGCAGACUAGAGUGCGGUAGGGGAGACUGGAAUUCCUGGUGUAGCGGUGAAAUGCGCAGAUAUCAGGAGGAACACCGGUGGCGAAGGCGGGUCUCUGGGCCGAUACUGACGCUGAGACACGAAAGCGUGGGGAGCAAACAGG